UGACCCGGAAUGGAACUGGGAGCUCCUGGCCUGUAGGACGCUCCACCCCUGACACACGGGGUGGGCCGUGCAGUCCUUUUGCUCUAAGUGCCGGCCCCACAGUGACCUGGGGCCUCCCUGGCUCCCGGCUCCCAGCUGGGUCCUGGCUGCUGGUGAUGCUGAGGAGUGUCUGACCCUGCACAGCGCCCUGAGGAGUUGGACGAAGAGGAGGAAGUGGAGGAGGAGGGGGCGGAGGUCCCCAGCUCUUUCCACCUCUCCCUUCAGACCAGUGAUGAAGAAUAGGGACCUAAACAUGGCAGAAAAUGAGAUAGCAUCUGCCCCGGAGAGGGUGGGUGGGUGGACAGGGCAGGGAGAGCUGCAGUGGGGCCUGUGGGCUGUGCUGCUCCCCGAGCUCAGACGCUCCUGCUGGCCCAGAGCCCAGGUCCCGGUGAGGAUCUGUUCCCGAUUCCUGAGGACCGCAGAAGGACUUCUUCCCACCACUCCCCGCCCUGCCAGGCCCAGCCCAGCCACCUGCACACGCUUAGGGCCGAGCCCAGCCACAUGAACAGGCUUAGGGAAAUUUCCUGGUUUCCUCUCCAAACCCAGUAGAGGCCCCGCCCCACAGCAGGCAGUUUCAUUUCUAAUAGAGUCCAACCCUCGACCAGGGAAGUGGCUGUUCCAGGCGACUCCCUACAGCAAGUGUGUGGCAUUGGUGGUGGUCCAGGUCCAAGCAAGGUCGCUCUGCAACCUGCCUGCCUCCCUCCGCUCCCAGGAGGGCAGGCCUGGCUCUGAGGAGCUGUAGCCCCGGGCCAGGGUCCCUGGGUCCCUCCUUGGCUCUCAGGUUCCUGGGUCCUCCCUGGAGGAACUUGGGGUGCUGUCUUCCCAUUUGCCCACCCUCCCCUCCCUUCAGGGUUCCAAUUGCCUGGAACUUCUCCUGGGAGACAGUCCUGGCUGGAGGGGAGAGGUCACCUGACUGGUCCUCUAGGACCCGCCCUUCUCUGUCCAGACCUGGUCUUUAACUUUAAAAAAAAUAUAUUUUUUUAUUGAUUUCAGAGAGG
This is a long non-coding RNA of Pipistrellus kuhlii (Kuhl's pipistrelle), 1037 nucleotides long. RefSeq lists it as uncharacterized. The record is from RefSeq and is a predicted model, not a curated record. The transcript is spliced from 2 exons. Lineage: Eukaryota; Metazoa; Chordata; Mammalia; Chiroptera; Vespertilionidae.